GACGAACGCUGGCGGCGUGCCUAAUACAUGCAAGUCGAACGGGAGCGCCCGGUUCUUGCUGUGGUCGAGCUGGUAGCGGACGGGUGAGAAACACGAGGGUGCCCUGCACAGCAGGGGGGGAUAACCUCCGGCGGAGGAAUAUAACACAGGAUAGGUCUUCGAACCGGGGGGUUUUUAGGAGAUCAGGGGCGCAAGGUGCUGCUGAGGGAUGGAGCCGUGGGGUAUUAGCUAGUUGGUGGGGUAGCGACCUACCAAGGCGGUGAUGCGUAGCGGACCUGAGAGGACGACCGGCCACACUGGGACUGAGACACGGCCCAGACUCCUACGGGAGGCAGCAGUAGGGAAUCUUCGGCAAUGGGCGAAAGUCUGAUCCAGCAAUGCCGCGUGUGUGAUGAAGGCCUUCGGAUUGUAAAGCUCUUUUGGCGGAGACGAACAGGUCUGAGCCUAAACGACGGCUCGAUGACGGUACCCGAAGAAUAAGCACCGGCUAACUACGUG
This 498-nucleotide ribosomal RNA is filed under the name uncultured bacterium. RNAcentral describes it as "partial 16S ribosomal RNA". It matches the Rfam family "Bacterial small subunit ribosomal RNA", at positions 28 to 507 of the family's 1533-position model. The record is from RNAcentral.